The sequence is a ribosomal RNA, 1079 nucleotides long. It matches the Rfam family "Eukaryotic small subunit ribosomal RNA", at positions 3 to 1093 of the family's 1831-position model.
CCUGGUUGAUUCUGCCAGUAGUCAUAUGCUUGUCUCAAAGAUUAAGCCAUGCAUGUCUAAGUAUAAGCAAUUAUACCGCGAAACUGCGAAUGGCUCAUUAUAUAAGUUAUCGUUUAUUUGAUAGUACCUUACUACUUGGAUAACCGUGGUAAUUCUAGAGCUAAUACAUGCUAAAAAUCCCGACUUCGGAAGGGAUGUAUUUAUUAGAUUAAAAACCAAUGCCCUUCGGGGCUCACUGGUGAUUCAUGAUAACUCCUCGAAUCGCAUGGCCUUGUGCCGGCGAUGGUUCAUUCAAAUUUCUUCCCUAUCAACUUUCGAUGUUUGGGUAUUGGCCAAACAUGGUUGCAACGGGUAACGGAGGGUUAGGGCUCGACCCCGGAGAAGGAGCCUGAGAAACGGCUACUACAUCCAAGGAAGGCAGCAGGCGCGCAAAUUACCCAAUCCCGACACGGGGAGGUAGUGACAAUAAAUACUGAUACAGGGCUCUUUUGGGUCUUGUAAUUGGAAUGAGUACAAUUUAAAUCCCUUAACGAGGAACAAUUGGAGGGCAAGUCUGGUGCCAGCAGCCGCGGUAAUUCCAGCUCCAAUAGCGUAUAUUAAAGUUGUUGUGGUUAAAAAGCUCGUAGUUGAACCUUGGGCCUGGCCGUCCGGUCCGCCUCACCGCGUGUACUGGCUCGGCCGGGCCUUUCCCUCUGUGGAACCCCAUGCCCUUCACUGGGCGUGGCGGGGAAACAGGACUUUUACUGUGAAAAAAUUAGAGUGCUCCAGGCAGGCCUAUGCUCGAAUACAUUAGCAUGGAAUAAUAGAAUAGGACGUGUGGUUCUAUUUUGUUGGUUUCUAGGACCGCCGUAAUGAUUAAUAGGGACAGUCGGGGGCAUCAGUAUUCAAUUGUCAGAGGUGAAAUUCUUGGAUUUAUUGAAGACUAACUACUGCGAAAGCAUUUGCCAAGGAUGUUUUCAUUAAUCAGGAACGAAAGUUAGGGGAUCGAAGACGAUCAGAUACCGUCGUAGUCUUAACCAUAAACUAUGCCGACUAGGGAUCGGACGGUGUUAUUUUUUGACCCGUUCGGCACCUUACGA